AGUCGGUUGUCGCUGGCCCUCUCUGCUGGGCAUGUGCACACCUUCUCUUUCAUCCACACACACCUGUGCACUCGUGAAGACGGAAGGAGCGCCCUUGGGCGGCGUCCGUCUGCUCCACAUAAAACCACAUGUAUAUAUAUAUUGAAUGUAAUUGAUGUAACACAUCUUUAAACUAAGUUUCAACAACGGAUCUCUUGGCUCUCGCAUCGAUGAAGAACGCAGCGAAAUGCGAUAAGUAAUGUGAAUUGCAGAAUUCAGUGAAUCAUCGAAUCUUUGAACGCACCUUGCGCUCCUUGGUAUUCCUUGGAGCAUGCCUGUUUGAGUAUCAUGAAAUCUUCAAGAUAGACCUUUCGUUCAUUCGAUUGAUUUUGUUUUGGACUUGGAGGUCUUGCAGAUUCUCACGUCUGCUCCUCUCAAAUGCAUUAGCUGGAUCUCCGUGAGCUCGGUUCCACUCGGCGUGAUAAGUAAUCACUCGCUGAGGACACCGUAAAAAGUGGCCGGGUCCACAGAUGAACUGCUUCCAACUGUCCAUUGGCUUGGACGAUUGAACCUUUGUGAUCUGAUCUCAAAUCAGGUAGGAAUACCCGCUGAACUUAAGCAUAUCAAUAA
RNAcentral lists this ribosomal RNA (609 nucleotides) under uncultured fungus. Its description in RNAcentral is "eukaryotic LSU rRNA". The stretch from base 175 to 328 matches the Rfam family "5.8S ribosomal RNA". The record is from RNAcentral. Lineage: Eukaryota; Fungi.